RNAcentral lists this ribosomal RNA (406 nucleotides) under uncultured bacterium. Its description in RNAcentral is "partial 16S ribosomal RNA". It matches the Rfam family "Bacterial small subunit ribosomal RNA", at positions 30 to 526 of the family's 1533-position model. The record is from RNAcentral.
AUUGAACGCUGGCGGCAGGCCUAACACAUGCAAGUCGAGCGAGCGGCGGACGGGUGAGUAAUGUCUGGGAAACUGCCGGAUGGAGGGGGAUCACUACUGGAAACGGUAGCUAAUACCGCAUACCAUCAGAUGUGCCCAGAUGGGAUUAGCUAGUAGGUUGGGUAACUGCUCACCUAGGCGACGUUCCCUAGCUGGUCUGAGAGGAUGACCAGCCACACUGUAACUGAGGCACGGUCACGACUCCUACGGGAGGCAGCAGUGGGGAAUAUUGCACAAGGGGCGCAAGCCUGAUGCAGCCAUGCAGCGUGUGUGAAGAAGGCCUUCGGGUUGUAAAGCACUGUCAGCGGGGAGGCGUUACCCGCAGAAGAAGCACCGGCUAACUCCGUGCCAGCCGCCGCGGUAAUUC